Molecule: long non-coding RNA, 1664 nt
Organism: Oncorhynchus masou masou (cherry salmon)
Lineage: Eukaryota; Metazoa; Chordata; Actinopteri; Salmoniformes; Salmonidae
Exons: 3
Source: RefSeq, a predicted model, not a curated record
AUGUUUGAGUGCCAAAUCAACACAAAUUUGUUUCUAUUUGUCUGUAACGCUCGUCUGAUGAAGAAGGACUGGACCAAAGCGCAGCGUGGUGUCAUCCAUCCUCCUCAUUUUCCCCUGGGGUUGAAUCAGUCCUAGACAGAAACCUCCGAGACACAGUAUUAAUGAUGAACUCCUGGGGGUUCACUGGUAAGCCACCUUUGCGUUGGGAUCCGUCCCAGUUGGUAUUCUGUGUCCACUCGUGGUGUCUCUCUUCGGUUACACAUCCUUGGAAUAGCAGAACAGCAUAACCGUCUGGAUGGCUCUUGCUGUGCCUGGUGGGCAGUUGGUCAAGUUCGGUUGUCAGAAGAGGAAUGGAAAUGUCAGGGUGAACCCGACGAACCCUCCACAUGUGUUGACCCUGCCUAUUGGAGGUGGAGUUCCAGAGCUCAUAGGUGUGCCUGGCAUGGAUUGUGACUCCAUCUCAUUCCUCGCCCUCUUCAAUGGGUCAUUCGCCGCCUGACUCUCCGCCAAUGCCGUCUGACUCUCUGUCAAUGACGUGUGACUCUCUGCCAAUACCGCCUGCCUCUUGACCAAUGCAUCGUCUAUCGCCCGUGUCUCUGUCCUCAGAUAAUGUUUCUCUUUCUGCUGGUCUGCCUUCAAUGACUGGGGGCUGUGCUUUGGCAAAGUGGGUGGGGUUAUAUCCUGCCUGUUUGGCCCUGUCCGGGGGUAUCAUCGGAUGGGACCACAGUGUCUCCUGACCCCUCCUGUCUCAGCCUCUAGUAUUUAUGCUGCAGUAGUUUAUGUGUUGGGGGGCUAGGGUCAGUCUGUUAUAUCUGGAGUACUUCUCCUGUCUUAUCCGGUGUCCUGUGUGAAUUUAAGUAUGCUCUCUCUAAUUCUCUCUUUCUCUCUCUUUCUCGCUAUCUCUCUCUCGGAGGACCUGAGCCCUAGGACCAUGCCUCAGGACUCCCUGGCAUGAUGACUCCUUGCUGUCCCCAGUCCACCUGGCCGUGCUGCUGCUCCAGUUUCAACUGUUCUGCCUGCGGCUAUGGAACCCUGACCUGUUCACCGGACGUGCUGUUUUCAACUCUCUAGAGACAGCAGUAGCGGUAGAGAUACUCUUAAUGAUUGCCUAUGAAAAGCCAACUGACAUUUACUCCUGAGGUGCUGACUUGUUGCACCCUCGACAACUACUAUUAUUAUUUGACCAUGCUGGUCAUUUAUGAACAUUUGAACAUCUUGGCCAUGUUCUGUUAUAAACUCCACCCGGCAGAGGCAGAAGAGGACUGGCCACCCCUCAUAGCCUGGUUCCUCACAAGGUUUCUUCCUAGUUUUUGGCCUUUCUAUGGAGUUUUUCCUAGCCACUGUGCUUCUACAUCUGCAUUGCUUGCUGUUUGGGGUUUUAGGCUGGGCUUAGGCUGGGCUUAGGCUGCACAACACUUUGAGAUAUCAGCUGAUGUAAGCUAUAUAAAUAAAUUUGAUUUGAUUUGAUUUGAAUCGGUCUUCAAAGUUUGAAUCUGAUCCAUGUGCACCUUCAUCAGAAGAGCAGAAUGGUACCGCUCUGAGCCCCCAUCAAUUACAGUGGCCUAUGAUAGAAACGGUAGAACAAUUAAGAAUUCAAAGUGACUCCAGCACACAAAUGCUGCGUACACAUUUUAAGAAUCUAGAAAUACUAACCGCUUUCUUGG